Molecule: ribosomal RNA, 400 nt
Filed under: Duchailluia sp. MD-2014
Lineage: Eukaryota; Metazoa; Arthropoda; Insecta; Blattodea; Blattidae
Description: partial 12S ribosomal RNA
Source: RNAcentral
UAUUAUUUUUGAUGUAAAUUAUUUAUAACCUGAGUAGUAAUAGUUAUUGUCUUGAAACUUAAAGAAUUUGGCGGUAUUUUAGUCUAUUUAGAGGAAUCUGUCCCUUAAUCGAUAAUCCGCGUUGUACCUUACUAAAUUUUUUUUGGUAUGUAUACCGCCGUUUAUUUGAGAAUUUUUUUAGAAUUAAUUUUAAUUUUCGAUAUUUGUUAAUAAAUUUUAUUUCAGGUCAAGGUGCAGCUUGUAAUUUAGUGGAGAUGGAUUACAUUUAUAUUUAUUAUUGGAUUAAGUUUUGUAAUAGAUUUAUUAAAUUGGAUUUAAUUGUAAUUUUUUGUAGAUUGUAAAGUGGAUUUUUAGCUCUAAAAUAUGUACACAUCGCCCGUCGCUCUCAUUAUUUUUAGGU